CUGAAUCCACUCUUUAUGCUGCUACGGGCCUGAUGACAUAGAUUUCAUUGCUGAGUGAUAUUGCUUUUUAGAAUCAUCAUACCUGAAUCCACUCAUUGUGCUGCUACGGGCCUGAUGACAUAGAUUUCAUUGCUGAGUGAUAUUGCAUUUUAGAAUCAUCAUACCUGAAUCCACUCAUUGUGCUGCUACGGGCCUGAUGACAUAGAUUUCAUUGCUGAGUGAUAUUGCAUUGUACUUAGAAUCAUCAUACAUGAAUCCACUCAUUAUGCUGCUACGGGCCUGAUGACAUAGAUUUCAUUGCUGAG
Molecule: long non-coding RNA, 305 nt
Organism: Orcinus orca (killer whale)
Lineage: Eukaryota; Metazoa; Chordata; Mammalia; Artiodactyla; Delphinidae
Exons: 4
Source: RefSeq, a predicted model, not a curated record